UCUCCUCCCUCAUCUCUGCACCAAGAGGCUCUCCUGAUGGUUCAGCAUCUGGCCUGACUGUGCCAGGUUCAGCUGAAUAGCCGAGUCCACCCUGGGACUAGGGAAACUGGAGGCCAGUGCCAGCAUGCCCCUGCUGCCCCAGGCCCUUCUUCUGCCAUCCCCAUCAGGAGUCCUGGUCUGACACCACUGAAAUCACCGGGAGUUUUGCCAUUAGCUCCUACGGCCACGAGUUCACCAGAGCCAGCCUGCCCCAGUGACAGCGGUUGCACCCUACCCCAAACAGACAGGGUUUGAAUUCCACACAUCUCACUGACUCCGACUGUCAGAAAAAUCUCUCCCCUCCGAGCUCAAUCACGCUGUACAAGUUUUGCAUUAAUUUAGAGCUAAUUGUCAGGUCUUUGCCCCAGUUCCUACACCACAACACUGAUGCUGUUUGUUGACUGCAUGUGUGAGACACACGGCGCACCAUGGACAGUGAGACCAGACUGCAUCCAGGGGCUUUAACUGCAGAAAAUAAAAAGAGAUGAACAUGAAACAAAAUAAGCCGCUGUGCCCAGGUGUCGCUUCAAUCUGCAUGACCGGAGUGUCUUCAGAAAUGGAGCAGAUUCUGCUUCCGGUUACACUGGUGUGAAUCUGGAGCGGCUCCACUGAAAUCAUGGCCCACUGUGGCUUCCUGAGACUGCUUGGCUUGGCUUAGCUGGAAUUUGACCUGCUGUAGAUGUGGACCCAUCAGCCAGCCCUGUCUCAGCGCAGCCGUGCGAGGAGAAAUGAGCGACAGUUUGAUUGAUCAUGUCUGUGGUUGCUGUGCUUGGCAAUAGAAGAGGCUGUCUUGCAUGGCAGCGCACAGUAGCUCAUGUCUGUGAAGGUGUUCUAAGCAAUCCCCUACACACACUGAAUGGCAGGGACCUUCCCUUGAUUUGGACUUCCUUCAUGCAUGAGCCCUGAUCUGAAUUUUGGCUGUAUGUGUAGGUGUGCAGGGGAAGGAGGUUGCCUGAGCGGAUGAUGCAUUCCCUUCCUUUUCUAUAGCAUCUCAGGCCACGUGAAGCAGGAGGUGAUUAUUAAGGAAAACAGCUAGAACUAUGAACACAAACAGGCUUCCACACAACUUGGGUUCUAGCUUUGUCUCCUUUGUUUACCAGGGAUCCCACUCUCUCUGGAACUGUAUAACACAGAGAGAUAUAUAGUGGCUAACUAACAUAAAUGCAAACACAUACCAGGGCACUCCCCAAGGGCUGAUCAUGUUGUGCUCCCAUCUCCCAUGAGCCCGAGGGAACCAAUUCUCCGCUCCCACGUGGAGGUCACUUUAACCGGCAAUUUAACCACACAU
Molecule: long non-coding RNA, 1327 nt
Organism: Mauremys reevesii (Reeves's turtle)
Lineage: Eukaryota; Metazoa; Chordata; Testudines; Geoemydidae
Exons: 7
Source: RefSeq, a predicted model, not a curated record